Small nuclear RNA from Pteronotus mesoamericanus, 103 nucleotides. The record is from RefSeq and is a predicted model, not a curated record. Lineage: Eukaryota; Metazoa; Chordata; Mammalia; Chiroptera; Mormoopidae.
GUGCUUGCUUCAGUGGCACAUAUACUAAAAAUGAAAUGAUACAGAGAUUAGCAUGACCCCUGCACAAGGAUGACAACAAAUUCAUGAAGUGUUCCAUAUUUUU